GAUGAACGCUGGCGGCGUGCUUAACACAUGCAAGUCGAACGGAAAGGCCCAAGCUUGCUUGGGUACUCGAGUGGCGAACGGGUGAGUAACACGUGGGUGAUCUGCCCUGCACUUCGGGAUAAGCCUGGGAAACUGGGUCUAAUACCGGAUAGGACGAUGGUUUGGAUGCCAUUGUGGAAAGUUUUUUCGGUGUGGGAUGAGCUCGCGGCCUAUCAGCUUGUUGGUGGGGUAAUGGCCUACCAAGGCGUCGACGGGUAGCCGGCCUGAGAGGGUGUACGGCCACAGUGGGGCUGAGAUACGGCCCAGACUCCUACGGGAGGCAGCAGUGGGGAAUAUUGCACAAUGGGCGCAAGCCUGAUGCAGCGACGCCGCGUGGGGGAUGACGGCCUUCGGGUUGUAAACUCCUUUCGCUAGGGACGAAGCGUUUUUGUGACGGUACCUGGAGAAGAAGCACCGGCUAACUACGUG
Molecule: ribosomal RNA, 468 nt
Filed under: uncultured bacterium
Lineage: Bacteria
Description: partial 16S ribosomal RNA
Rfam family: Bacterial small subunit ribosomal RNA
Source: RNAcentral